Molecule: ribosomal RNA, 206 nt
Filed under: uncultured Lactobacillus sp.
Lineage: Bacteria; Bacillati; Bacillota; Bacilli; Lactobacillales; Lactobacillaceae
Description: partial 16S ribosomal RNA
Rfam family: Bacterial small subunit ribosomal RNA
Source: RNAcentral
AAGAUGCUAAUACCGGAUAAUAANAAGAUGAUGCCUAUCAACUGUUUAAAAGAUGGUUCUGCUAUCACUCUUGGAUGGACCUGCGGUGCAUUAGCUAGUUGGUAGGGUAACGGCCUACCAAGGCGAUGAUGCAUAGCCGAGUUGAGAGACUGAUCGGCCACAUUGGGACUGAGACACGGCCCAAACUCCUACGGGAGGCAGCAGGG